RNAcentral lists this ribosomal RNA (468 nucleotides) under uncultured bacterium. Its description in RNAcentral is "partial 16S ribosomal RNA". It matches the Rfam family "Bacterial small subunit ribosomal RNA", at positions 28 to 507 of the family's 1533-position model. The record is from RNAcentral.
GACGAACGCUGGCGGCGUGCUUAACACAUGCAAGUCGAACGGAAAGGCCCUGCUUUUGUGGGGUGCUCGAGUGGCGAACGGGUGAGUAACACGUGAGUAACCUGCCCUUGACUUUGGGAUAACUUCAGGAAACUGGGGCUAAUACCGGAUAGGAGCUCCUGCUGCAUGGUGGGGGUUGGAAAGUUUCGGCGGUUGGGGAUGGACUCGCGGCUUAUCAGCUUGUUGGUGGGGUAGUGGCUUACCAAGGCUUUGACGGGUAGCCGGCCUGAGAGGGUGACCGGCCACAUUGGGACUGAGAUACGGCCCAGACUCCUACGGGAGGCAGCAGUGGGGAAUAUUGCACAAUGGGCGGAAGCCUGAUGCAGCAACGCCGCGUGCGGGAUGAUGGCCUUCGGGUUGUAAACCGCUUUCGCCCGUGACGAAGCGUGAGUGACGGUAAUGGGUAAAGAAGCACCGGCUAACUACGUG